GAACGGCAGCACAGAGGAGCUUGCUCCUUGGGUGGCGAGUGGCGGACGGGUGAGGAAUACAUCGGAAUCUACUUUUUCGUGGGGGAUAACGUAGGGAAACUUACGCUAAUACCGCAUACGACCUACGGGUGAAAGCAGGGGAUCUUCGGACCUUGCGCGAUUGAAUGAGCCGAUGUCGGAUUAGCUAGUUGGUGGGGUAACGGCCCACCAAGGCGACGAUCAGUAGCUGGUCUGAGAGGAUGAUCAGCCUCACUGGGACUGAGACACGGCCCAGACUCCUACGGGAGGCAGCAGUGGGGAAUAUUGGACAAUGGGCGCAAGCCUGAUCCAGCCAUGCCGCGUGGGUGAUGAAGGCCCUAGGGUUGUAAAGCCCUUUCGGCGGGGAAGAUAAUGACGGUACCCGCAGAAGAAGCCCCGGCUAACUUCGUG
RNAcentral lists this ribosomal RNA (429 nucleotides) under uncultured bacterium. Its description in RNAcentral is "bacterial SSU rRNA". It matches the Rfam family "Bacterial small subunit ribosomal RNA", at positions 64 to 507 of the family's 1533-position model. The record is from RNAcentral.